GGAGUCUUGGCGGAGAAAGCAAUGGCAACCUACUCCAGUACUCUUGCUUGGAAAAUCCCAUGGACGGAGGAGCCUGGUAGGCUGCAGUCCAUGGGGUUGCUAAGAGUCAGGCACGACUGAGCGACUUCACUUUCAUUUUCACUUUUAUGCAUUGGAGAAGGAAAUGGCAACCCACUCCAGUAUUCUUGCCUGGAGAAUCCCAGGGACAGAGGAGCCUAGUGGGCUGCCGUCUAUGGGGUCGCACAGAGUUGGACACGAUUGAACCGACUUAGCAGCAGCAGCAGCAGGAGUCUUGGAGUUUAAAUGGGAUGCUUCUUUAGAGUGUGAGUGUUAUGUGAAGUGUAAACAGGAGAGGAACAAGGGGUCGGCUUCAAGAAACACAGAGUUGAAGAGGGGAGAUUUCUUCUUGCCAAAGGUGGUCCCAGUAACUACAGCACCUUCACUAAAUGGGCCUGAUUGAGGACCUGCCUGCUCAUCCUUGCAGCCAAGAUGCAGGCCUGGCAGAGCCAGUCUCCUGAUGACUCAUCGUCCCUUCAGAGGUUUCCUGGACCCCUACUCAAGAAAACACUGGGCUGUGCCUCUCAAGUACAGCAAUGAACAGGUGUUCUUUGGCAGGUGUUUCCAUGACCUGAGGGUGUUUCUGAGCUGUGGAGGACGCCUGCAGCCACAUCUGCAGAAACCAGGCCAUGGCAGCUCCUCCUACCAGGCCAGGAAGGGUGCCCUGGCUGUGGUCACCAUGUCCUGAGAGUCUCCUCCUUCAAGUCAGGAACCUUCCAACCCCCUUCCACUCCACCUGCUAUUUCUGGGACUCUGCCUGGAGAGGGGGACAAAGCGGAGAUCAUCCGCCAGGCCAGCCUGUCCUUAACUUUUCUCUCUAAGAUGUGUCUGAAGGGUGUGGAUGGAGAGCUGAAGGAAGAGAAGAUCUUCUGGGUUCUAAUCCCUCCUCUGUCUUGAAUUUGCUGUGUGACCUUGGGAGAGUUACUUCACCUCUCUGGCCUUCCUGUUUUUCAACUGUGGAAUAAGAAGGUAUCCCAGGCAUGGAUUCAGACCACCCAGGACUGAAUCCUGAAUCCACCACUAACAAGCUCUGCGACCUUGGACAGCCUUUCAGAAACUUAGUGUCCUCAUCUGUAUGAAUGAGAUGACCUACCUCAACAGCCGUUGAGAAGAUUAAAAGAGAUAAUCCAUGUGAAGUCCUCAGCAUAGUGCCUGGCUCACAGUAAACAAUCAAUAAAUGUUUGCUGUAAUUAUUAUUAUUACCA
Molecule: long non-coding RNA, 1262 nt
Filed under: Bos indicus x Bos taurus (hybrid cattle)
Lineage: Eukaryota; Metazoa; Chordata; Mammalia; Artiodactyla; Bovidae
Description: lncRNA (ENSBIXG00000026425.1)
Source: RNAcentral